RNAcentral lists this ribosomal RNA (522 nucleotides) under uncultured bacterium. RNAcentral describes it as "bacterial SSU rRNA". It matches the Rfam family "Bacterial small subunit ribosomal RNA", at positions 777 to 1297 of the family's 1533-position model. The record is from RNAcentral.
AAUAGAUACCCCGGUAGUCCACGCCGUAAACGUUGGGCGCUAGAUGUGGGGGCCAUUCCACGGUUUCCGCGUCGUAGCUAACGCAUUAAGCGCCCCGCCUGGGGAGUACGGCCGCAAGGCUAAAACUCAAAGGAAUUGACGGGGGCCCGCACAAGCGGCGGAGCAUGCGGAUUAAUUCGAUGCAACGCGAAGAACCUUACCAAGGCUUGACAUAUACGAGAACACUGCAGAAAUGUAGGACUCUUUGGACACUCGUAUACAGGUGGUGCAUGGUUGUCGUCAGCUCGUGUCGUGAGAUGUUGGGUUAAGUCCCGCAACGAGCGCAACCCUCGUCGCAUGUUGCCAGCACGUAAAGGUGGGAACUCAUGUGAGACUGCCGGGGUCAACUCGGAGGAAGGUGGGGAUGACGUCAAAUCAUCAUGCCCCUUAUGUCUUGGGCUUCACGCAUGCUACAAUGGCCGGUACAAAGGGCUGCAAUACCGUAAGGUGGAGCGAAUCCCAAAAAGCCGGUCUCAGUUCGGA